RNAcentral lists this ribosomal RNA (1000 nucleotides) under Streptomyces sp. RNAcentral describes it as "partial 16S ribosomal RNA". It matches the Rfam family "Bacterial small subunit ribosomal RNA", at positions 474 to 1474 of the family's 1533-position model. The record is from RNAcentral. Lineage: Bacteria; Bacillati; Actinomycetota; Actinomycetes; Kitasatosporales; Streptomycetaceae.
CGUACUUACAGAAAGCCACGCUACUACGUGCCAGCAAGCGCGGUAAUACGUAAGGUGCCAGCGUGUUCCGAAUAAUGGGCGGUAAAAGGGCGUCGCCAGGCGGUUUUCUUAAGUUUGAUGUUGAAAGCCCCCCGCUUCACCGGGGAAGGGUCCAUUGAAACUGGGGACCUUAAUUGCAGAAGGGGAGAAUGGGAUUUCAACUGGAACCGUUAAAUUCCGAGAGAAGGGGAAGAACCCCAAUUGCGGAAGGCCAAUUUUUGGUCCUGUACUUACGGUGAAGCAGCGAAAGCCUUGGGAAGCGACCAGAAUAGGUUACCUGGUUAUUCCAGCCGUUAACGAUGAAUUGUAAGUGUUAGGGGGUUUUCGCCCCUUAAUGCUGCAGGCAACGCCUUUAACCAUUCGCCUGGGGAAUACCGUUGGCAGGAUGAAAAUUCAAGGAAAUGGCGGGGGCCCGCAACAACCGUUGAACCUGGUGUUUAAUUUGGAACAAACGGGAGGACCUUACCCAGUUUUGACAUCCUUUGACCAUCCCAAAAAUAAGGCGUUCCCUUUGGGGGCAAAAUGACCGGUGGUUCCUGGUUGGUGUCAACUCGUGUUCUGAGAUGGUGGGUUAAAUCCCGCAACGAACGCCACCCCUGAUUUUAGUUGCCAACCUUCAAUUGGGCCAUUUAAAGUGAACGCCGGUGGCCAACCGGAGGAAGGGGGGGAAGGAGUCAAAUUCUCCUUCCCCUUAUGACCUUGGGUACCCCACUGGUACCAAGGGCAGAACCAAGGGGAAGGAAACCCGGAGGGUAAACCCAUUCCCCAAAUUUGUUUUCAAUUUGGAUUGCCGUUUGCAAAUUGGAUGCGUGAAACCGGGAACGGUUGUAAACGCGGAUCAACCUGGCGCGGUGAAUACGUUCCCGGGCCUUGGUCCCCCCCCCCGUCCCCCCCCGAGAAUUUGUAACCCCCGAAGUCGGUUAAGUAACCUUUAGGAGCCAGCCGCCGAAGGGACAGGAGU